RNAcentral lists this transfer RNA (70 nucleotides) under Tomopterna cryptotis. RNAcentral's name for it is "tRNA-Ala". It matches the Rfam family "tRNA". From Rfam's summary of the family: Transfer RNA (tRNA) molecules are approximately 80 nucleotides in length. Their secondary structure includes four short double-helical elements and three loops (D, anti-codon, and T loops). The record is from RNAcentral. Lineage: Eukaryota; Metazoa; Chordata; Amphibia; Anura; Pyxicephalidae.
AGGGUCUUAUCUUAAUUUAAAGUACCUGAGUUGCAUUCAGGUGAUGUAGGUUAAUGUCCUGCAGGUCCUA